This 680-nucleotide ribosomal RNA is filed under the name uncultured rumen bacterium. RNAcentral's name for it is "bacterial SSU rRNA". It matches the Rfam family "Bacterial small subunit ribosomal RNA", at positions 70 to 747 of the family's 1533-position model. The record is from RNAcentral.
CGCGGGGUAGCAAUACUCUGGCGGCGACCGGCGAAAGGGUGAGUAACGCGUGAGCAACGUGCCCGUAUGUGGGGGAUAGUCAUUAGAAAUGAUGCGUAAUACCCCGUAACACAAGGGACUGCAUGGUUCUUUGUUGAAAGAUUUAUUGCAUACGGAUCGGCUCGCGUGCCAUUAGGUAGACGGCGGGGUAACGGCCCACCGUGCCGACGAUGGCUAGGGGUUCUGAGAGGAAGGUCCCCCACAUUGGAACUGAGACACGGUCCAGACUCCUACGGGAGGCAGCAGUGAGGAAUAUUGGACAAUGGCCGGAAGGCUGAUCCAGCCAUGCCGCGUGCGGGAAGACGGCCCUAUGGGUUGUAAACCGCUUUUGCGGGGGAGCAAUAAGAGUCACGUGUGGCUCGAUGAGAGUACCCUGCGAAUAAGCAUCGGCUAACUCCGUGCCAGCAGCCGCGGUAAUACGGAGGAUGCGAGCGUUAUCCGGAUUUAUUGGGUUUAAAGGGUGCGCAGGCGGCUUGUUAAGCGGGAGGUGAAAUGCCGGCGCUCAACGUCGGAAGUGCCUCCCGAACUGGUGAGCUUGAAUGACUCUGCCGUGGGAGGAAUGUGUAGUGUAGCGGUGAAAUGCUUAGAGAUUACACAGAACACCGAUUGCGAGGGCAUCUCACGAAGGGUUGAUUGACGCU